Molecule: ribosomal RNA, 492 nt
Filed under: uncultured bacterium
Lineage: Bacteria
Description: partial 16S ribosomal RNA
Rfam family: Bacterial small subunit ribosomal RNA
Source: RNAcentral
AGUGAACGCUGGCGGUAGGCCUAACACAUGCAAGUCGAACGGCAGCACAGUAAGAGCUUGCUCUUACGGGUGGCGAGUGGCGGACGGGUGAGGAAUACAUCGGAAUCUACUUUUUCGUGGGGGAUAACGUAGGGAAACUUACGCUAAUACCGCAUACGACCUACGGGUGAAAGCAGUGGAUCUUCGGACCUUGCGCGAUUGAAUGAGCCGAUGUCGGAUUAGCUAGUUGGCGGGGUAAAGGCCCACCAAGGCGACGAUCCGUAGCUGGUCUGAGUGGCUGAUCGGCCACACUGGAACUGAGACACGGUCCAGACUACUACGGGAGGCAGCAGUGGGGAAUAUUGGACAAUGGGCGCAAGCCUGGUCCAGCCAUACCGCGUGGGUGAAGGAGGCCUUCGGGUUGUGAAGCCCUUUUGUUGGGAAAGAAAAGCAGCAGGUUAAUACCCCGCUGUUCUGACGGUACCCAAAGAAUAAGCACCGGCUAACUUCGUG